This 860-nucleotide ribosomal RNA is filed under the name uncultured bacterium. Its description in RNAcentral is "bacterial SSU rRNA". It matches the Rfam family "Bacterial small subunit ribosomal RNA", at positions 27 to 897 of the family's 1533-position model. The record is from RNAcentral.
GGAUGAACGCGGGCGGCGUGCUUAACACAUGCAAGUCGAACGAUGAUCCCCAGCUUGCUGGGGGGAUUAGUGGCGAACGGGUGAGUAACACGUGAGUAACCUGCCCUUAACUCUGGAAUAAGCCUGGGAAACUGGGUCUAAUACCGGAUAUGACUGAUCAUCGCAUGGUGGUUGGUGGAAAGCUUUUCGUGGUUUUGGAUGGACUCGCGGCCUAUCAGCUUGUUGGUGAGGUAAUGGCUUACCAAGGCGACGACGGGUAGCCGGCCUGAGAGGGUGACCGGCCACACUGGGACUGAGACACGGCCCAGACUCCUACGGGAGGCAGCAGUGGGGAAUAUUGCACAAUGGGCGCAAGCCUGAUGCAGCGACGCCGCGUGAGGGAUGACGGCCUUCGGGUUGUAAACCUCUUUCAGUAGGGAAGAAGCGAAAGUGACGGUACCUGCGGAAGAAGCGCCGGCUAACUACGUGCCAGCAGCCGCGGUAAUACGUAGGGCGCAAGCGUUAUCCGGAAUUAUUGGGCGUAAAGAGCUCGUAGGCGGUUUGUCGCGUCUGCCGUGAAAGUCCGGGGCUCAACUCCGGAUCUGCGGUGGGUACGGGCAGACUAGAGUGAUGUAGGGGAGACUGGAAUUCCUGGUGUAGCGGUGAAAUGCGCAGAUAUCAGGAGGAACACCGAUGGCGAAGGCAGGUCUCUGGGCAUUAACUGACGCUGAGGAGCGAAAGCAUGGGGAGCGAACAGGAUUAGAUACCCUGGUAGUCCAUGCCGUAAACGUUGGGCACUAGGUGUGGGGGACAUUCCACGUUUUCCGCGCCGUAGCUAACGCAUUAAGUGCCCCGCCUGGGGAGUACGGCCGCAAGGCUAA